AUACGUAGGGAGCGAGCGUUGUCCGGAAUUACUGGGUGUAAAGGGUGCGUAGGCGGGACUGCAAGUCAGAUGUGAAAUGCCGGGGCUCAACCCCGGAGCUGCAUUUGAAACUGUGGUUCUUGAGUGAGGUAGAGGUAAGCGGAAUUCCUAGUGUAGCGGUGAAAUGCGUAGAUAUUAGGAGGAACAUCGGUGGCGAAGGCGGCUUACUGGGACUUUACUGACGCUGAGGCACGAAAGCGUGGGGAGCAAACAGGAUUAGAUACCCUGGUAGUCCACGCUGUAAACGAUGAUGACUAGGUGUGGGGGACUGAACCCUUCCGUGCCGCAGGUAACACAAUAAGUCAUCCACCUGGGGAGUUCGGCCGCAAGGUUGAAACUCAAAUGAAUUGACGGGG
RNAcentral lists this ribosomal RNA (395 nucleotides) under uncultured bacterium. Its description in RNAcentral is "partial 16S ribosomal RNA". It matches the Rfam family "Bacterial small subunit ribosomal RNA", at positions 523 to 918 of the family's 1533-position model. The record is from RNAcentral.